This 253-nucleotide ribosomal RNA is filed under the name uncultured bacterium. RNAcentral's name for it is "partial 16S ribosomal RNA". It matches the Rfam family "Bacterial small subunit ribosomal RNA", at positions 524 to 776 of the family's 1533-position model. The record is from RNAcentral.
UACGUAGGGUGCGAGCGUUGUCCGGAAUUAUUGGGCGUAAAGGGCUCGUAGGCGGUUUGUCGCGUCGGGAGUGAAAACCUUGGGCUUAACUCAGGGCUUGCUUUCGAUACGGGCAGACUAGAGGUAUGCAGGGGAGAACGGAAUUCCUGGUGUAGCGGUGAAAUGCGCAGAUAUCAGGAGGAACACCGGUGGCGAAGGCGGCAUCCUGGACCGGCAUUGACGCUGAGGCGCGAAAGCCAGGGGAGCAAACGGG